UGGGCUUUCCAUGCUCUUUAUAUUCUUUUAUAUAGGUAUUUUUUUAUUUUGGACUUUUAUGUGUGUUUAUCUCUGGGCCCUAUAUCUUGUGCGUUUUUGCAGAAAAAUUAAGUAAAGAUGUAGGUUAUAUCGCCGUCGUUGUAAUCGGGUCCCGAUGAAGGCCGCUCCGAUGAACAUACUGUAACGCUUCGGGUUUCCAUUUAUUUUCUUCUUUACUCCUAGCAUUAAAUUGAGCUCGGACUGCUCUUCAUAUGCAACCAUCCAAAGCUCUCCUAUAAAUUGCCAUCGUUGCAGCGAUGAAGACCGCCGUAUCUACGAAAACUACAAGGUAAUAUUUGCUGAUUUGAGAGCCGGUCGAUGUUCAACGACAGCCGAGGUACGUCUUCUGAGGUGCUCUAAUAUCUGGAAAGAAAAGAAGCCAACAAGUCCCCUGCAAUGGACUCAGUCGUAAGGGUAUUUAGACGAGAAUCAGAGUUGCCUGAUAACAAUGACAAUGUUCAAAACGCUGGAAGCGCGUUCUCUUCAGUGCGUUUGUUGGUUACAUCGACGCAGGCGAUGCAUUUAAUUGGAAAGCAUGGAUCUUUAAUCAAAUCAAUAAUGGAGAACUUUGGUGCAUCAGUUCCCAUCUUAUUAGAAGGAAACGCCGUUUUAUGCUGCAUAAGAUGAGAGGAUAGUUGCUUUUGCAGGGGGAAGCUUUAAAGAUUGUGAAAGAAGCGGUUGUUGUACACCUAAGGACAUUUGUAGUUGACCAUUCUUUGGUUCCUCUUUUUGAGAAGAAACUUUUUCAUACAGAUUAUGAAGGAUAAGGAAGAGCUUAUUUCCUGUUGAGAGAUAUAAAUGUGCGCAAAAAAAAGUUGAGCUCAGUUGGACAAACAAAAGAUUCAAUGAUUUUCCAGUUCAGUUCUAUAGAAUUAAACCGUAAUACCAUGUUCGUAUUUGAAAUAUGUUGAUGGCUUAAGAUAUUCAAGGAAGAGCAAUUAGUUGUGUUGAUGGAUAAUAAGGCUUGCUUUGGUUUAUCUGCUGCCCAGUUUUGCAAGUUA
Brassica napus (rape) is the source of this 1040-nucleotide long non-coding RNA. RefSeq lists it as uncharacterized. NCBI's taxonomy places the organism in Eukaryota, Viridiplantae, Streptophyta, Magnoliopsida, Brassicales, Brassicaceae. The record is from RefSeq and is a predicted model, not a curated record. The transcript has 4 exons.